This 1871-nucleotide long non-coding RNA is filed under the name Ricinus communis (castor bean). RNAcentral's name for it is "long non-coding RNA (RCOM_LNC003139)". The record is from RNAcentral. Lineage: Eukaryota; Viridiplantae; Streptophyta; Magnoliopsida; Malpighiales; Euphorbiaceae.
GCAAUUGUAGUAUAAAAUGAUGGUUAGCCUCUAAAUGCAGAGUCAAAAGGAUGAUCAAGUGCUGUAAGAAAUUUCCCUUUCUUUCUCCUGGUAAACAAAAAAUUAUAAUUCAGCACACUAAACCCAAAUGCAGCCAGGGGCAAAGUGAUUAGAAAGAAGCAUGCUCAUCCAAAAACCAAAGAAACAAAAGCAACUCAAACCAUUAAUGAUACAAACAAUUUAUAUUAAAUGUUGACCGAUACAAAACCCACUUAGUUCUUCCAACUCUGAAACUCUGUUCCAACCUUACUGGUAUGAACUAUCCAAAAUUCAGUUUGAGGUUCCAUGAACUAUUCAAUCUAACAAUUCAAGAUUGAAAGACUUUCCUUGCAUAUUCACAAUAAUUAAUAACUAGUAAACAUUGAGACUUCACCCAUCCAUUAUAUCAAACUCGGAAAAGAAAUAAUAAGGAAAAAUUGCAGUAGAGGUAAUUACAAGUAAAUGCACAUGUAUCAACAAUUUCUGGUGCAAUGGUUGAACCAGAUAAGAAACAAUAUAGCUACAACAGGGGCAAGAAUAUCCAUAAAAAGUUAUAUUUAGCUAAAGAAUAAAUAACUUAACUUUUCAAGUAUCACCUUCUAACUAAUCAUCAGUUCUUCAACUUAACUUGUGCCGACGCAAACCUUAUGUUCUUCGAGCUCCAACCUUCAAGCGCAUGCCAUUUUUAACAAAUUAGACUUUAUAAAUUUUCUAUUUCUAAUUAACAAUCAUCAGACUAUAUUGCAAACAAUUUAAUUUAAAAAUCAAACAAAAGAAGUAAAAUAACCCAACAUGACUUUUGAAGGAACUCCACCAUGCAACAUAAUAAAAUUAAAAAUUAGCUACUAACCCUAUCGUGGAAUUAUUUAAAGACGAGGUAGAGGUACUAACCUUAGAAAUAGAAAUUGAAAUAGUAAACAAAAUAAGAAAAUUAAAAAGUAAUAUUUAGCUAAAGAAUAAAGAACUUAACCUUUAAAAUGAGCUUCUAACCGAUCAUAAGUUUUUCAACUUAACUUGUGCCGAUGCAAACUUUAUGUUCUUUGAGCUCCAAGCUUCAAGCACAUAACAUUUUAACAAAUUAGAGUUUAUAAAUUUUCUAUUUCUAAUUAACAAUCAUCACACUAUAUUACAAACAAUUCAAUUCAAACAUCAAACAAAAGAAGUCAUUCAAACAAAAAUAUUAAAAAAACCCAACAUGACUUUUGGAGUGACUCCACCAUGCAACUUAAUAAAAUUAAAGAUUAGCUACUAACCCUAUAAUGAAAUUACUUAGAAAUGAGGUAGAGGUACUAACCUUAGAAAUAUAAAUUGAGAUAGUGAACAUAAUAAGAAAAUUGAAAAGCUAUAUUUAGCUAAAGAAUAAAUAACUUAACUUUUCAAGUAUCACCUUCUAACUAAUCAUCAGUUCUUCAACUUAACUUGUGCCGACGCAAACCUUAUGUUCUUCGAGCUCCAACCUUCAAGCGCGUGCCAUUUUUAACAAAUUAGAGUUUAUAAAUUUUCUAUUUCUAAUUAACAGUCAUCAGACUAUAUUGCAAACAAGUCAAUUCAAAAAUCAAACAAAAAAAAGUAAUAUAACCCAACAUGACUUUUGAAGGAACUCCACCGUGCAACUUAAUAAAAUUAAAAAUUAGCUACUAACCCUAUCAUGGAAUUACUUAAACACGAGGUAGAUGUGCUAACCUCAGAAAUAGAAGUUGAGAUAGUAAAAAAAAUAAGAAAAUUAAAAAGUUAUACUUAGCUCAAGAAUAAAGAACUUAACCUUUCAAGUAUCAGCUUCUAACUGAUCAUCAAUUUUUCAACUUAACUUGUGCCGACCCAAACCUUAUCUUCUUCGAGCUCCAACCUUCAAG